Molecule: non-coding RNA, 23 nt
Filed under: Arabidopsis thaliana (thale cress)
Lineage: Eukaryota; Viridiplantae; Streptophyta; Magnoliopsida; Brassicales; Brassicaceae
Also listed under: 1 other name
Source: RNAcentral
GGUUUAGACCGUCGUGAGACAGG